This 274-nucleotide ribosomal RNA is filed under the name uncultured bacterium. Its description in RNAcentral is "partial 16S ribosomal RNA". It matches the Rfam family "Bacterial small subunit ribosomal RNA", at positions 523 to 796 of the family's 1533-position model. The record is from RNAcentral.
AUACAGGGGGUGCGAGCGUUAAUCGGAAUUACUGGGCGUAAAGCGUACGUAGGCGGUUGGUUAAGUUAGAUGUGAAAGCCCCGGGCUUAACCUGGGAACUGCAUUUAAAACUGGUGAACUAGAGUUGAGUAGAGGGGAGUGGAAUUUCAGGUGUAGCGGUGAAAUGCGUAGAGAUCUGAAGGAACACCAGUGGCGAAGGCGACUCCCUGGACUCGAACUGACGCUGAGGUACGAAAGCGUGGGUAGCAAACGGGAUUAGAAACCCCUGUAGUCC